UGAGCAGCUGAGAGAGGGAGUGGUUAGUGGAGAUGACAUGGAUGAGCAGCUGAGAGAGGGAGUGGUUAGUAGAGAUGACAUGGAUGAGCAGCUGAGAGAGGGAGUGGUUAGUGGAGAUGACAUGGCAGGCAGUGCAGCAGACUGACAGUCACACACAAUACUGACUGGGGUCUGCUACUUACAGUCUAGCAGAGUGAUUAGCACUAGUAUGAUGGGGGGUUCAAAGGUGAGGAGUCAAGUGUCAGUGGAGGAUGAUUCUGAGCAUGGGGCCAGCACUAAAGGGAAGUGGCCAGUGGAAGAGAGUGAGUUAGGAGCUAGCUGAGCAUGCGUAAAAGUGUAUCCGUCCAGAGAUCUGUGCCAUCACAGCAGCAAGAUUUGUGACCUGUUGCCACGAGAAAAGGGCAACCAGUGAAGAACAAACACUAAUCUCCAGCUGCAGCUUCCUGUUCUCCUUCUCCUUCCUGCGCACGUCCAGCGUGUCGUCGCGGUUGUGACCCGUCCGCAACGUCUCCCUGCGGUUCAUGAUCUCGGCCAGCUUGUUGAUCGCCUGGUGGGUAUGUACAUAUACAGUCCACAAUAUAUUAUGGUAAUGGACAGCACACUGCAAUAUAUAUUCUCAAUGAAAAACACGUUAUGGGCUGGUUUCUCUGGUUUCUCAGCCUAGUCCUGGAACAAAACACACAUGUAAUGGAGAUUCUCUAUUGAGUAUGCCUUUUAGUCCGGGACUAGGCAUCUGACCCUAUAUAUUAAAUCAACAAAUAGAUGCAUACUAUGUAACAUUGGAGUUCUGUCGCUGUCCUGCUGAACCCAGGACAUGAA
Molecule: long non-coding RNA, 819 nt
Organism: Oncorhynchus gorbuscha (pink salmon)
Lineage: Eukaryota; Metazoa; Chordata; Actinopteri; Salmoniformes; Salmonidae
Exons: 3
Source: RefSeq, a predicted model, not a curated record